RNAcentral lists this ribosomal RNA (561 nucleotides) under uncultured bacterium. RNAcentral describes it as "partial 16S ribosomal RNA". It matches the Rfam family "Bacterial small subunit ribosomal RNA", at positions 355 to 937 of the family's 1533-position model. The record is from RNAcentral.
UGGGGAAUAUUGGACAAUGGGCGCAAGCCUGAUCCAGCCAUGCCGCGUGAGUGAUGAAGGCCCUAGGGUUGUAAAGCUCUUUCGCCAGGGACGAUAAUGACGGUACCUGGAUAAGAAGCCCCGGCUAACUUCGUGCCAGCAGCCGCGGUAAUACGAAGGGGGCUAGCGUUGUUCGGAAUCACUGGGCGUAAAGCGCACGUAGGCGGAUCUUUAAGUCAGGGGUGAAAUCCCGAGGCUCAACCUCGGAACUGCCUUUGAUACUGGAGGUCUCGAGUUCGGGAGAGGUGAGUGGAACUGCGAGUGUAGAGGUGAAAUUCGUAGAUAUUCGCAAGAACACCAGUGGCGAAGGCGGCUCACUGGCCCGAUACUGACGCUGAGGUGCGAAAGCGUGGGGAGCAAAACAGGAUUAGAUACCCUGGUAGUCCACGCCGUAAACGAUGGGUGCUAGCCGUUGGGGGAGCUUGCUCUUCAGUGGCGCAGCUAACGCUUUAAGCAUCCCGCCUGGGGNGUACGGUCGCAAGAUAAAACUCAAAUGAAUUGACGGGGUCAUAGCUGUUUCUG